RNAcentral lists this ribosomal RNA (253 nucleotides) under uncultured bacterium. RNAcentral's name for it is "partial 16S ribosomal RNA". It matches the Rfam family "Bacterial small subunit ribosomal RNA", at positions 524 to 776 of the family's 1533-position model. The record is from RNAcentral.
UACAGAGGUCUCAAGCGUUGUUCGGAUUCAUUGGGCGUAAAGGGCUCGUAGGCGGCCAACUAAGUCCGACGUGAAAUCCCCAGGCUUAACCUGGGAACUGCAUCGGAUACUGGAUGGCUUGAAUUCGGGAGAGGGAUGCAGAAUUCCAGGUGUAGCGGUGAAAUGCGUAGAUAUCUGGAGGAAUACCGGUGGCGAAGGCGGCAUCCUGGACCGACAUUGACGCUGAUGAGCGAAAGCUAGGGGAGCAAACGGG